ACGUACGCUGGCGGCACGCCUAACACAUGCAAGUCGAACGAAGUAGCAAUACUUAGUGGCAGACGGGUGAGUAACAUGUAGGUAUCUGCCCUUUGGCCUGGAAUAACACGAGGAAACUUGUGCUAAUACCGGAUAAGUCUUUACGGAGAAAGCUUUAUGCACCAUUGGAUGAGCCUGCACUUGAUUAGUUUGUUGGUGGGGUAAUGGCCUACCAAGACUGUGAUCAAUAGCUGAUUUGAGAGGAUGAUCAGCCACAUUGGGACUGAGACACGGCCCAAACUCCUACGGGAGGCAGCAGUGGGGAAUCUUGCACAAUGGAGGAAACUCUGAUGCAGCGAUGCCGCGUGAGUGAAGAAGGCCUUUGGGUUGUAAAGCUCUUUCGUCGGGGAAGAAAAUGACUGUACCCGAAUAAGAAGGUCCGGCUAACUUCGUGCCAGCAGCCGCGGUAAUACGAAGGGACCUAGCGUAGUUCGGAAUUACUGGGCUUAAAGAGUUCGUAGGUGGUUGAAAAAGUUAGUGGUGAAAUCCCAGAGCUUAACUCUGGAACUGCCAUUAAAACUUUUCAGCUAGAGUAUGAUAGAGGAAAGCAGAAUUUCUAGUGUAGAGGUGAAAUUCGUAGAUAUUAGAAAGAAUACCAAUUGCGAAGGCAGCUCUCUGGAUCAUUACUGACACUGA
This 675-nucleotide ribosomal RNA is filed under the name alpha proteobacterium IMCC14955. RNAcentral describes it as "bacterial SSU rRNA". It matches the Rfam family "Bacterial small subunit ribosomal RNA", at positions 29 to 749 of the family's 1533-position model. The record is from RNAcentral. Lineage: Bacteria; Pseudomonadati; Pseudomonadota; Alphaproteobacteria.